RNAcentral lists this RNase P RNA (373 nucleotides) under Rosenbergiella nectarea. RNAcentral's name for it is "Bacterial RNase P class A". It matches the Rfam family "Bacterial RNase P class A". From Rfam's summary of the family: Ribonuclease P (RNase P) is a ubiquitous endoribonuclease, found in archaea, bacteria and eukarya as well as chloroplasts and mitochondria. The record is from RNAcentral. Lineage: Bacteria; Pseudomonadati; Pseudomonadota; Gammaproteobacteria; Enterobacterales; Erwiniaceae. RNAcentral also lists the same sequence under 1 other name.
GAAGCUGACCAGACAGUCGCCGCUUCGUCGUCGUCCCGAAAGGGAGACGGGCGGAGGGGAGGAAAGUCCGGGCUCCAUAGGGCAGGGUGCCAGGUAACGCCUGGGGGGCGCAAGCCCACGACCAGUGCAACAGAGAGCAAACCGCCGAUGGCCCGCAAGGGAUCAGGUAAGGGUGAAAGGGUGCGGUAAGAGCGCACCGCGCGGCUGGCAACAGUCCGUGGCACGGUAAACUCCACCCGGAGCAAGGCCAAAUAGGGGUUCACAUGGUACGGCCCGUACUGAACCCGGGUAGGCUGCUUGAGCCAGUGAGCGAUUGCUGGCCUAGAGGAAUGACUGUCCACGACAGAACCCGGCUUAUCGGUCAGCUUCACCU